Neopsephotus bourkii (Bourke's parrot) is the source of this 186-nucleotide long non-coding RNA. RefSeq lists it as uncharacterized. Lineage: Eukaryota; Metazoa; Chordata; Aves; Psittaciformes; Psittacidae. The record is from RefSeq and is a predicted model, not a curated record. The transcript is spliced from 2 exons.
CAGGGUUGGACACAUUUUAAAAAGCCCUAAAACCUAUGUAAGAAAUUGACAUCUGAAAGGCAGGACGAAGCAAACGAGGAUGUGCCUUUGCUCUGCAACACACAGCACUAGAUGGCCGUGUUUCCUACCAAAAGCAAGUUCCCUGGAAGACUGAACACUGGAAUAAAUAACCUCCCUUUGACCGCA